Molecule: unclassified non-coding RNA, 367 nt
Filed under: fungal sp.
Lineage: Eukaryota; Fungi
Description: partial internal transcribed spacer region
Rfam family: Eukaryotic small subunit ribosomal RNA (bases 1-46)
Source: RNAcentral
AAGUCGUAACAAGGUUUCCGUAGGUGAACCUGCGGAAGGAUCAUUAACACGUAUCCAACGUUAAACCCCCCUGUGAACCUUCAUUGUGCUCCCACGCUUUGUUAGAAAGUGGCAAUCCCUGGUAAAUCAUCGCCGAACAGUUUUGAUUCAGGGACUUCUGCGAAGAGGGUGAAUGAGGGGAGUGCUUGUUGGUGUCUGAAAGUGUCACUAACUCUGUACGAAUGGCGCAGUCACGUUCGCUGGAGGCCGACACGGCCGGCGAUCCCUGAGCUCUGCUCCCUAAUAACCUUUGCAUGAAAACGGGCCUGCGCUUAAUUGUGCGGCCACCAAACUCGAACAACUGUUAACAAUGGAUAUCUUGGUUCUC